UACAGAGGUCCCAAGCGUUGUUCGGAUUCACUGGGCGUAAAGGGUGCGUAGGCGGUCGGGUAAGUCUGAUGUGAAAUCUCUGAGCUCAACUCAGAAACUGCAUUGGAUACUAUUCGGCUAGAGGAGUGGAGGGGGGACUGGAAUACUUGGUGUAGCAGUGAAAUGCGUAGAUAUUGUCAAGAACACCGAUUGCGUAGGCAGCUUACUAAGCUAUAACUGACGCUGAGGCACGAAAGUGUGGGGAUCAAACAGG
RNAcentral lists this ribosomal RNA (253 nucleotides) under uncultured bacterium. Its description in RNAcentral is "partial 16S ribosomal RNA". It matches the Rfam family "Bacterial small subunit ribosomal RNA", at positions 524 to 776 of the family's 1533-position model. The record is from RNAcentral.